This 70-nucleotide transfer RNA is filed under the name Saccoglossus kowalevskii. RNAcentral describes it as "tRNA-Ala". It matches the Rfam family "tRNA". Rfam says of the family: Transfer RNA (tRNA) molecules are approximately 80 nucleotides in length. Their secondary structure includes four short double-helical elements and three loops (D, anti-codon, and T loops). Lineage: Eukaryota; Metazoa; Hemichordata; Enteropneusta; Harrimaniidae. The record is from RNAcentral.
GUGAGCUUAGUUUAAUGAAAAUAUUUGCCUUGCACGCAAAAGAUUCUUGGUUGGAACCCAGGAGCCCACA